GAUGAACGCUAGCUACAGGCUUAACACAUGCAAGUCGAGGGGCAGCAUUUCAGUUUGCUUGCAAACUGGAGAUGGCGACCGGCGCACGGGUGAGUAACACGUAUCCAACCUGCCGAUAACUCGGGGAUAGCCUUUCGAAAGAAAGAUUAAUACCCGAUGGUAUAAUCAGACCGCAUGGUCUUGUUAUUAAAGAAUUUCGGUUAUCGAUGGGGAUGCGUUCCAUUAGGCAGUUGGUGAGGUAACGGCUCACCAAACCUUCGAUGGGUAGGGGUUCUGAGAGGAAGGUCCCCCACAUUGGAACUGAGACACGGUCCAAACUCCUACGGGAGGCAGCAGUGAGGAAUAUUGGUCAAUGGGCGCAGGCCUGAACCAGCCAAGUAGCGUGAAGGAUGACUGCCCUAUGGGUUGUAAACUUCUUUUAUAUGGGAAUAAAGUUUUCCACGUGUGGAAUUUUGUAUGUACCAUAUGAAUAAGGAUCGGCUAACUCCGUGCCAGCAGCCGCGGUAAUACGGAGGAUCCGAGCGUUAUCCGGAUUUAUUGGGUUUAAAGGGAGCGUAGGUGGACAGUUAAGUCAGUUGUGAAAGUUUGCGGCUCAACCGUAAAAUUGCAGUUGAUACUGGCUGUCUUGAGUACAGUAGAGGUGGGCGGAAUUCGUGGUGUAGCGGUGAAAUGCUUAGAUAUCACGAAGAACUCCGAUUGCGAAGGCAGCUCACUGGACUGCAACUGACACUGAUGCUCGAAAGUGUGGGUAUCAAACAGGAUUAGAUACCCUGGUAGUCCACACAGUAAACGAUGAAUACUCGCUGUUUGCGAUAUACAGUAAGCGGCCAAGCGAAAGCAUUAAGUAUUCCACCUGGGGAGUACGCCGGCAACGGUGAAACUCAAAGGAAUUGACGGGGGCCCGCACAAGCGGAGGAACAUGUGGUUUAAUUCGAUGAUACGCGAGGAACCUUACCCGGGCUUAAAUUGCAUUUGAAUAUAUUGGAAACAGUAUAGCCGUAAGGCAAAUGUGAAGGUGCUGCAUGGUUGUCGUCAGCUCGUGCCGUGAGGUGUCGGCUUAAGUGCCAUAACGAGCGCAACCCUUAUCUUUAGUUACUAACAGGUCAUGCUGAGGACUCUAGAGAGACUGCCGUCGUAAGAUGUGAGGAAGGUGGGGAUGACGUCAAAUCAGCACGGCCCUUACGUCCGGGGCUACACACGUGUUACAAUGGGGGGUACAGAAGGCAGCUACCUGGUGACAGGAUGCUAAUCCCAAAAGCCUCUCUCAGUUCGGAUCGAAGUCUGCAACCCGACUUCGUGAAGCUGGAUUCGCUAGUAAUCGCGCAUCAGCCAUGGCGCGGUGAAUACGUUCCCGGGCCU
This 1359-nucleotide ribosomal RNA is filed under the name uncultured bacterium. RNAcentral describes it as "bacterial SSU rRNA". It matches the Rfam family "Bacterial small subunit ribosomal RNA", at positions 28 to 1381 of the family's 1533-position model. The record is from RNAcentral.